This is a long non-coding RNA of Corapipo altera (White-ruffed manakin), 319 nucleotides long. RefSeq lists it as uncharacterized. Lineage: Eukaryota; Metazoa; Chordata; Aves; Passeriformes; Pipridae. The record is from RefSeq and is a predicted model, not a curated record. The transcript has 3 exons.
AGAAAGUUUGUGCACUUGGAGAGUAAAAAGGACAGGGAUUAUUUUCUUGUUUGGGGACUGUACAGUUCCCAGGAAAACAGGGUUUUGGUCCAGGACUGGGACUCCUAAAUGUUAAGCAGGGGUCAAAGGCAUUCUACUGCAUUUGAGUGUUCCAGCUUCCUUGGGCUUCUCAUUUGAAAGAAGAUACAAAAAUAUGUCAAGAACUCUUCUGCUCUUGGAAACUUCUGUACUAACAACAUGAAGUAUUGGAAGUUUCAGAAAUCCAUUAAAAAACCCCAAAAAACAAACUAGGAGUUGUUCUUCAUGAUAAAGCAACAGA